AGCGAGAGAACUGUUGUUAAGGAACUCGGCAAAAUGACCCCGUAACUUAGGGAUAAGGGGUGCCACCAUCAGGUGGCCGCAGAGAAUAGGCCCAAGCGACUGUUUACCAAAAACAUAGGUUUCUGCUAAGUCGCAAGACGAUGUAUAGGAGCUGACGCCUGCCCGGUGCUGGACGGUUAAGGGGAUCUGUUAGAGCAAUCGAAGCAGUGAACUUAAGCCCCAGUAAACGGCGGCCGUAACUAUAACGGUCCUAAGGUAGCGAAAUUCCUUGUCGGGUAAGUUCCGACCCGCACGAAAGGCGUAACGAUUUUGGCACUGUCUCA
RNAcentral lists this ribosomal RNA (323 nucleotides) under Clostridioides difficile. RNAcentral describes it as "partial 23S ribosomal RNA". It matches the Rfam family "Bacterial large subunit ribosomal RNA", at positions 1691 to 2023 of the family's 2925-position model. Lineage: Bacteria; Bacillati; Bacillota; Clostridia; Peptostreptococcales; Peptostreptococcaceae. The record is from RNAcentral.